Molecule: long non-coding RNA, 504 nt
Organism: Corvus hawaiiensis (hawaiian crow)
Lineage: Eukaryota; Metazoa; Chordata; Aves; Passeriformes; Corvidae
Exons: 2
Source: RefSeq, a predicted model, not a curated record
AUGAAUGAAUGAAUGAAUGAAUGAAUGAAUGACAAAAUUUUUUUUUUACUCUCUAAGUACCUUGUAGGCUCAACCUGUAUUUUUCAAGUAUGCCUGCUCAAAAUUAAGACCUCAAUCCACAAAAAAGGCACUGAAUCUCCAGUAAUUGGAGAGGGAAAAAGAAGAAGUGGAAGACGAGACAAAUAUCACAGUACCUUUUGAAGUCAAAUCACCUCUAUACAGCUGUUUCCCAUGCCUAUUGUCCCACAGAGACUAAUUUUGGAUAUUGUUUCCACAAUACCUGAUGACUUUCGGCUCUGUCGUAACUGCUGUUCCUUUUCUACUGUGCAUCCUUUCUACAACUAACUCUUGGGAUCUUAGCAUGGUGCUUCUCAUGGAGAAAGUCACCUGCCCUGUGUAGUAACUGAGGCAUUAGUACUGCCUAGUCUUUGGACGACUCUUCUAACAGUAUCUAGAGGUAUGUGGCCAUAAAUCAAUUCUGGCAGCACGAGAAUGGGCUAGAAA